UAUCUUGACGCCAGAGGUCGGAAGAGUAAUGCCUAUGAAAUUGCCUUGAUGUGGGGGAUAACUAUUGGAAACGAUAGCUAAUACCGCAUAACGCCUACGGGCCAAAGAGGGGGAUCUUCGGACCUCUCGCGUCAAGAUAUGCCUAGGUGGGAUUAGCUAGUUGGUGAGGUAAUGGCUCACCAAGGCAACGAUCCCUAGCUGGUCUGAGAGGAUGAUCAGCCAUACUGGAACUGAGACACGGUCCAGACUCAUACGGGAGGCAGCAGUGGGGAAUAUUGCACAAUGGGCGCAAGCCUGAUGCAGCCAUGCCGCGUGUAUGAAGAAGGCCUUCGGGUUGUAAAGUACUUUCAGUCGUGAGGAAGGUUCAUACGUUAAUAGCGUAUGGAUUUGACGUUAGCGACAGAAGAAGCACCGGCUAACUCCGUGCCAGCAGCCGCGGUAAUACGGAGGGUGCGAGCGUUAAUCGGAAUUACUGGGCGUAAAGCGCAUGCNGGUGGUUCGUUAAGUCAGAUGUGAAAGCCCGGGGCUCAACCUCGGAACUGCAUUUGAAACUGGCGGACUAGAGUACUGUAGAGGGGGGUAGAAUUUCA
This 590-nucleotide ribosomal RNA is filed under the name Vibrio sp. I2. Its description in RNAcentral is "bacterial SSU rRNA". It matches the Rfam family "Bacterial small subunit ribosomal RNA", at positions 85 to 671 of the family's 1533-position model. Lineage: Bacteria; Pseudomonadati; Pseudomonadota; Gammaproteobacteria; Vibrionales; Vibrionaceae. The record is from RNAcentral. RNAcentral also lists the same sequence under 1 other name.